CAGCCCCUCGAGUGGUGGGGAUGAUUAUUUGGCCUAAAGCGUCCGUAGCCGGCCGUGUAAGUCUCCCGUUAAAUCCAGCGUCUCAAGCGUUGGACUGCGGGAGAUACUGUACGGCUAGAGAGUGGGAGAGGUCAGCGGUAUUCUGGGGGUAGGGGCGAAAUCCUUUGAUCCCCGGAGGACCACCAGUGGCGAAGGCUGCUGACUAGAACACGUCUGACGGUCAGGGACGAAAGCUGGGGUAGCGAACCGGAUUAGAGACCCGAGUAGCC
This 269-nucleotide ribosomal RNA is filed under the name uncultured archaeon. Its description in RNAcentral is "partial 16S ribosomal RNA". It matches the Rfam family "Archaeal small subunit ribosomal RNA", at positions 477 to 746 of the family's 1478-position model. The record is from RNAcentral.